RNAcentral lists this ribosomal RNA (316 nucleotides) under uncultured bacterium. Its description in RNAcentral is "bacterial SSU rRNA". It matches the Rfam family "Bacterial small subunit ribosomal RNA", at positions 28 to 334 of the family's 1533-position model. The record is from RNAcentral.
GAUGAACGCUAGCUACAGGCUUAACACAUGCAAGUCGAGGGGCAGCAUGGAAGUUUGCUUGCAAACUUCCGAUGGCGACCGGCGCACGGGUGAGUAACACGUAUCCAACCUGCCGAUAACUCGGGGAUAGCCUUUCGAAAGAAAGAUUAAUACCCGAUGUUAUAGUCCUACCGCAUGAUGGGAUUAUUAAAGAAUUUCGGUAUGGGAUGGGGAUGCGUUCCAUUAGUUAGUUGGCGGGGUAACGGCCCACCAAGACAACGAUGGAUAGGGGUUCUGAGAGGAAGGUCCCCCACAUUGGAACUGAGACACGGUCCAA